GUUUACUGUGAUCUGUAGUUUUACUUUCUCAGAUGUUUUAUAACGGCAUGUUAUUUUGUGAGAGAUAAAAAGCAGCUUUGUUAUCAGGAAAGGAACUCCAGUCCGGACCAAGCAGAACCAGAACCUCCACAGAUCAAAGAGGAACUGUGCAGCAAUCAGGAAGGAAAGGAGCUGCUCCUGAACCUGCAGACUGAUGUGAAGGAGAAGAUUAAGUCUGAAUGUGAAGAGACAUUGAAAGUAUGUGGGAACAUCAUGUCUAACUUCAAGGCAGAGUUGGAUCAGGACUGCAGUCUGCAGAACACCAUCAGGAUUCCUGAAACACAGCUUCAAAGAAAAGGACAGACUGAAUUGCAUCUCCUUAGCCAAAAGAACUCCAGUCUGGACCAAGCAGAACCAGAACCUCCACUGAUCAAAGAGGAACCAAAAGAACUGUGCAUUAAUCAGGAGGGAGAGCAGCUGGUCCUGAAUCAGGAGACUAAAGUGGAGAUGGAGAUCAAAUCUGAUUUGUUGGAUCAAGAGCAUCACCUGGGGAUUAUCAUCAAGGUUCCUGUAGUAAAAUUGAAAAGAAUAGAUCUCUCAGAGCAACAAAUCUUUGAGGAGAGUGAAGCUGAGCAGCUUCUCUGGAAGCAGGAGAGGAGUUCCAGUCUGGAAGAAGAGGAACCAGAGUUUUCAGAGAUCAAAGAGGAGCAGGAGGAGGUCUACAUUGGAGAAGAAGGAGAACAGCUUGAACUGAAGCAGGAGACAGAUGCUUUUAUGGUCACUGAGGAUGAUCAGGAAAGGAUGGACUCUGAACCAGAAUCAAAUGAGAGUCAAUUUCUGGAAGAAAACACUGAUCAGAAACUGUGA
Molecule: long non-coding RNA, 846 nt
Filed under: Oryzias javanicus (javanese ricefish)
Lineage: Eukaryota; Metazoa; Chordata; Actinopteri; Beloniformes; Adrianichthyidae
Description: lncRNA (ENSOJAG00000008777.1)
Source: RNAcentral